Molecule: long non-coding RNA, 2277 nt
Organism: Micropterus dolomieu (smallmouth bass)
Lineage: Eukaryota; Metazoa; Chordata; Actinopteri; Centrarchiformes; Centrarchidae
Exons: 2
Source: RefSeq, a predicted model, not a curated record
UUUUUUUUUUUUUUUUUUUCUUGUGCAAAUGAGUUUAUUUAAUUUAGUGUGAUCUUGGCUUUUCUGUUAAAUGCCCAGAAUUCCAUGAGAGAAACACCAAGAACAUGCCGCUGCAUUGCCUUAAUAUUGUAACCCCUCAAGUCUUUCUAUAAUAGAUGUAUUUAUUUAUGUUUCCUUCCAGGUCUUCUUGGUGCAGUUUGGCCACGGCUUGUUUCUGUAUAUGACAAGAUGAUUUAUGCUUUUACGUUGGUGUUAUUGAUCUCUGAACAGAGCAAGGACAGAGCAGCAGAUGUGUUGAAGCCUUAAAAUGCAGUAAUAAUUGAUAUUUCUCAUCAAGACUUGAGAUUUCCACAUUUGAAACCCAUCAUACUUGUUUUCGGAAGACACAAGAAGUGUCACUUCCACUGUGUGUGGUGGUGUUAUAUUUUUUUUUUUUUCUUUUUUUUUUAAAUAUUAUGUUUUUAAUAUAUUUCUCUAGGCUAAACUAGGUAAAUCCACUUUUUGAGUUGAAUUUUAACUGAAGGUCACAAUUAAGACGUAACAUCAAUUCAGUUUUUUCUUGUAGUUAAAACUUCGUUGUUGGCUGGGUAUGAUGGCCAAUUUUAGACCGUGGUGGGACACCAGGACAAAACCAGACUAAUGACCCAGUGAAGUGGGUUAGAGGUUGGAAACUUUCAUUAGUUUCAAAAACUAUGAAAGUUGAGGCUGUAAAAUAAAUGCAUCUUCAGCUCCACAGGCAGUAGCUGUUUGUAAUUGGAAUAGAAUUACUGAUUUAACUGUUGCAUCAGUCAAACCAUCAUAUAUAUACACACACACACACACACAAUAGUGUAAGCAAAAUAGUUACAGUGCGAUACGUACCCUAUCAGAGCCCUAAACCCAAUGUUGACAUGGAUCCUGUUGUAUUAUGUACUUCUUACAUUGAUCCUGACCAGCCUCACAAAUUCCGUACCGGUCGGGCUCAACUGGGGUCCAAAUAGUUUUCAAAGUCGGUCAGCUGUCGGUUUUGUUCCUGCAGAGCUGAGGUCUGGGUAUCAGUAUGGAUAAUACCAGAGAGGAUCCAAGCAGACUCUCCAUGAUGGGAAAAUGUUAAUCUGGGUCAGGUCUAAGCAUCCUUGAGUCUGUACCAAUGGGGUCUCUAUUUAAAAUUUGUAAUGCACAUUAGGUUUGGGUAGUUUUAUUUUGGAUUCGGUCCAGAAUUGUGGACCCUUGAAGACCUUGGCUACGUAGGCUAAAACACAAGGACUCAGGUCCAUAAGAACAUGGCACAGUACGUUGUUGUGUACCUGAGGAGGAGACAGCUUUCAUCUGUUGGAGCGUUCUUUGAUCCACUACUAAAGACUGUACAUCAAACAUGGUGUUAAUUCAUAGUUUAAAGCCUGUGUAGAGUUUGGGGGUUUAUGCGUGUUCAUUUUCUGUCAGAUUUGACCAAGAAGGAUGUGGGUAUUGUUUUUGUGGCUGUAAUCUAUUGUGGCGCCAAGAAGGAAGUGCAGAAAAGGGUGAGUCAAGAUGGUAAACACAGCAGCAAAUCUGUUUUUCCUUUCUUUUCCUUCAAGAAGAAAAUGUAGAAAAAUGCCCCCUAGGAAGGAGCACAUCAGUAGUCGACCCCAUUGUCUCCAUCAUGGAGGUGACGCAGUGAUUUAAAGACGAGCAGGCUGUAGCAACACGCUGUGCUGAUCUUUCACUGGCACUCCUGUAGAACGAAGUGAAGACGCAAGACCAGAACUCCAGAGUGCACCACCUUCCUCCAGUAAAGACCUCAUGGUUUUUGUUCCUUAAGGCCUGUGUUUUUUAUCUGUUUAAACUGUAAAUGAAUUAGUUUCUCACAAAACAAUCAUUUUGUUGUUGCAUGUUAAGAAUCCAACAUUUUCUGUUUGCCAAACAAAUGAUGUUGAAGGGUUUUAAGUUAGGUUCCCCUUACACACACGUGUAAACUGUUUUUAGAAGACAGAUGUAAAUAGCACACUAGGUUUAGUUGGGUUGCUUUUAUAUCUACAAUAACCGGGAUUAAUGAAAACAACUACUUAUGGUUUUGACUCUACAGAGCGACUGUCUGACAUCUUUGUGUUUUAAUACUGUAGAUUGUUCAAGUGUAAAUGGUUUAUUAAUAUGUGGCUUAUAUAAUCUGGCUUAUUAUUGCAUUUAAAUGACAAUGAGUUGGAUCCCGUUGAAGGAAGGAGGGUGUGACUUUGGUUUUGGGGGAUAUUUAUGAUUUUGUGUACAUGUGGAAAUAUCAAGACUUUUGUGCUGUUUAAUAAAUCCUCUCCUGAUUACUGA